This 242-nucleotide ribosomal RNA is filed under the name uncultured Olsenella sp. RNAcentral's name for it is "partial 16S ribosomal RNA". It matches the Rfam family "Bacterial small subunit ribosomal RNA", at positions 524 to 776 of the family's 1533-position model. Lineage: Bacteria; Bacillati; Actinomycetota; Coriobacteriia; Coriobacteriales; Atopobiaceae. The record is from RNAcentral.
UACGUAGGGGGCGAGCGUUAUCCGGAUUCAUUGGGCGUAAAGCGGCCUGUUAGGUCGGGAGUUAAAGCCGGGGGCUCAACCCCCGUCCGCUCCCGAUACCGGCGGGCUUGAGUCUGGUAGGGGAAGGCGGAAUUCCCAGUGUAGCGGUGGAAUGCGCAGAUAUUGGGAAGAACACCGGUGGCGAAGGCGGCCUUCUGGGCCACGACUGACGCUGAGGCGCGAAAGCUAGGGGAGCGAACAGG